This 434-nucleotide ribosomal RNA is filed under the name uncultured Clostridium sp. RNAcentral describes it as "partial 16S ribosomal RNA". It matches the Rfam family "Bacterial small subunit ribosomal RNA", at positions 341 to 792 of the family's 1533-position model. Lineage: Bacteria; Bacillati; Bacillota; Clostridia; Eubacteriales; Clostridiaceae. The record is from RNAcentral.
ACGGGAGGCAGCAGUGGGGAAUAUUGCACAAUGGAGGAAACUCUGAUGCAGCGACGCCGCGUGAGCGAAGAAGUAUUUCGGUAUGUAAAGCUCUAUCAGCAGGGAAGAAAAUGACGGUACCUGACUAAGAAGCCCCGGCUAACUACGUGCCAGCAGCCGCGGUAAUACGUAGGGGGCAAGCGUUAUCCGGAUUUACUGGGUGUAAAGGGAGCGUAGACGGCAAGGCAAGUCUGAUGUGAAAGGUGGGGGCUUAACUCCCAAACUGCAUUGGAAACUGUCUGGCUUGAGUGCCGGAGAGGUAAGCGGAAUUCCUAGUGUAGCGGUGAAAUGCGUAGAUAUUAGGAGGAACACCAGUGGCGAAGGCGGCUUACUGGACGGUAACUGACGUUGAGGCUCGAAAGCGUGGGGAGCAAACAGGAUUAGAUACCCUGGUA